Molecule: non-coding RNA, 873 nt
Organism: Cricetulus griseus (Chinese hamster)
Lineage: Eukaryota; Metazoa; Chordata; Mammalia; Rodentia; Cricetidae
Source: RefSeq, a predicted model, not a curated record
UUUGUUAGUCAUCACUACACUCAGAGCUUGAGGCCAGUGCCAUUCACACUUGCCCUAUUCUGCAGCAGACAGCUCCAGCUCCUCUAAUCCUCCUUUUUCUCCCCACCCCCCCAAAAAAAAACUUUUCUUGAGGAGUAACAACUAUAGCUUUGGGGAUAAUAUAGCUUUAAGACAACUUUUGGCAGAUGCAAACAUCCCAACAUCUGGGCAGUGUUACCAGAAUCCCGGAGGCCCUGACAGACCAGGAGCCACUGGUUCUGGGAAUGUUAAAGUAGAAAGGGUUUUUCCGACUGAUGAGAGGAGCAGAGAGCAAGGAGAAAAAGGGGAGAGAAGGAGACCGCAAAAAAUAAAAUAAAAAGCAAAUGCAUGUUCCUGCUCUCUUCUCCGCUUCCAGCAGAAGGAUGGCUCCCUCCGUGUGAAGAUUUCCCUAGAAAGGAAAACGGGAUAGCAACAGGAGCUUGGUCAUACUCUUCUUGUGGGCCUCGUCAGGUCUUCUGCAACCACUCUGCCAUCCUGCUAGUUCAGCAGGGCAAAACUGGAGAGAUCCCAUAUAUCUGCUUCUUCUCACUUUUGGGAGUUCAUAGCUGGCUCAGUUCUGAAAGUCAUUGUCCCUUACCCUGAUAUUUCUGGCCUAUUCUUGCCUCCUGAAGCUUCCAUGUUAAGGAUGGCUGGUCAACUGACCCAAAGAGGUGCUCUCUCACUGCUGCUCUUCCUAACACCAGCAGUGACACCAACAUGGUAUGCAGGCUCAGGCUACCAUCCAGAUGAAAGCUACAAUGAAGUAUAUGCAGAAGAGGUCCCAGCUGCCCGCUCCCUGGACUACCAAGGUAAUUCUCAUUGUUUCUCAAGCUCAGGAAGGAUGUUUUCUGGACU